UAGGCUGAUGCCCGCUGGUUUGGGUGUUUAGUUGUUAAUUAAAUUUUUACGGGAUCGAGGCCCGUCGGUCU
RNAcentral lists this transfer RNA (71 nucleotides) under Hemidactylus flaviviridis. RNAcentral's name for it is "tRNA-Asn". The record is from RNAcentral. Lineage: Eukaryota; Metazoa; Chordata; Lepidosauria; Squamata; Gekkonidae.